RNAcentral lists this small RNA (282 nucleotides) under Saccharophagus degradans 2-40. RNAcentral describes it as "5' ureB small RNA". It matches the Rfam family "5' ureB small RNA". Lineage: Bacteria; Pseudomonadati; Pseudomonadota; Gammaproteobacteria; Cellvibrionales; Cellvibrionaceae. The record is from Rfam by way of RNAcentral.
UCGUCUAUUUGUUGUGGGCAAAUAAAAUGAAUAUGAGAGUCUAUUGCGCCUGCGGUAAGUAUUUGACCUUCACCUGCAAUCACUUCUGUGCAGGGGCCAACAAUAAUUGUUACACCAGGUUGAAUAUCGGGGUUACCCGCUUUACCUAUUGCAGAAAUUCGACCAUUCUUGAUUGCCACAUCGGCUUUAACAAUGCCCCAGUGAUCGAGAAUUAGCGCGUUAGUAAUUACGGUAUCUGGUGUUUUAUCACUGGUGGCUUGGCUUUGGCCCAUGCCAUCGCGA